Papaver somniferum (opium poppy) is the source of this 2163-nucleotide RNA transcript. It is a transcript of the gene named ubiquitin carboxyl-terminal hydrolase 25-like, with no coding region annotated. The transcript has 6 exons. The record is from RefSeq and is a predicted model, not a curated record. Lineage: Eukaryota; Viridiplantae; Streptophyta; Magnoliopsida; Ranunculales; Papaveraceae.
UCUCUCUCUCUCUUCCUGCAGACCCAAAAACACCUUCGUUCCCCUUUCUCAUAUCUCUCUCUUCUAAUAUGCAGACCCGAAAACAUAAAAUUAUUCCUUCAUCACCUUCAUCAGUUCUUCGCUUAUAAUGAAGUUUUUUAGCUCAAACUCAACAAAAACCUAGAAUUUAAUUUCUUUUUAUUUCUCAAUAACAGUUCAGCACAGAUCUGAAAAACCAUAGUUUGAAUCGAAGAGGAAAUGAAUCCUUCUUGGGUUUUUGUUUUUCGAUUCAAUUUCUAUUACUUAAGAACUUGUGUUCUUGUGAAAGAAAGAAAAAAUGUCUAUGAAUGAUUUUGAUUGCCAACUGAUUUUAUUCAAUUCCUCCCGAUCGACAUCUGCAAGGGAAAAAAACUAUUUUAUCUUCUUCUUUUAAAAUGGAUCCAGAUCCGGAAGGUGAAAUAGAAGUCUAUAACCUCAAAUAAAUAAUCGAUUUCAGUCUGUGCUUUCAAUGACAAAAUCCUUCUUGCGAUUAAUUGGCCCCUAAUUAGAUCAGAGAGGACCACGAAGAUUAUAUGCGUCGUAAGGAGGGGAUGAUUCAUGAGUUUGAAUUGAGGGAAGUUGAUCUUGAUUCAGUUGUUUCUGGUCCAAUUGAAGCUUAAAUAUGAAUUGGUAGAAUAUGAUAUUCAAAUGUUCUCUGAAAUGGGUAUCAUUGGUGUGCUGAGUUCAAAUUUUGAUUCCAUUAUUUUUAUUGAAAUUUCCAGUUUGUUUAUAUCUUUUAGAUUGAAUUUUGAGUCUCGAUUUGUAUCAAUCAAGUUCUCUUAAAGCAGCUUUGCAAAGGUUUUUCAAGCCUGAGAUUUUGGAUGAAAGCAAUAAGUACCCUAGAAAUUUUGUAUUUUGUAAUUUUCUCCAUCUUUUCUAAAAUAGGGUUUAAUUUUUCAGGCGUGAAAAGUUGGUGUCAGCAAAGAAGCAGAUGUCUAUUCUGCAAUCCCCUAAUAUACUUGUAAUCCAACUCAAGAGAUUCGAGGGUAUAUUUGGUGGGAAGAUAGAUCGAAAAAUUGCCUUUGAGGGGGGUUUGAUGCUUUCUAAUUACAUGUGCAGAGAAAGUCCGGUAUGUGAUACACUUGAUGAACGGAUUCUCUUAACCCUUUUUUGUUUUUUUCCCGUCUUAUUUAAAUUAGUUGAUUUUCCUUGUGUAUUUGCUCCCCCUUGCAUUUUUCUUUCGUUUUGGAUGUUUUUUGGCGAAUAUAGUUUUGCUAUCCUCUUGACUCAAGUGUAAAUUACAGAACUAUAAGUUACGAUGUACAAGGGACGAGAUUUAGACUGCUUAAUUUUAAUUGUAUUUUUCACAUUUGUACGUGAUAGUCUUCGAACUUAGAACUUCUGUAUGUUGCAAUCGUCAUGUCUUAGUCUUUCGAAGUUUAGAUAAUUACUAACUUGAGUGUGUGUAUGCAAAUGUUUCAUACCCUUGCUUUGAGUUCCAGAUGAAUAUAUGUAAUCCAACUCAAUAAAAAAAAUAAUCAUGCAGGGUCAAUAUUAAGGAACAUAUUAUAAAGAGCACUUCCGGUUUUAAUAGUCGUAGAACUGGAAUUCUUAAGAGCACGGGUUGCUUUAUGCAUUAUGCAAUCGUUUAUUACCGCAGUAAGCUUCAUUUUUUUGUGCACUACAUUAUUUAGCUCAUCAAUUGGACAAGCAUUAGAUGCCCUUGGUUCAGUCACUAACUCUGAUUAUUAAGUGCUGAAUUCUUAUUGUAUUAUAGGCUAAUACUCCGAAAUUCUCUGACUUCUUCGCUGCAAGUUUUAUUCUUGCUAAAGGUAUUAAGGCAAGCAAGUUUGUGUGUAAUGCUGAGAAAGCUUUGAAACUCAUUUGUUAACCAUGGAGGUUACUAUUGAAGCCCAGACUCCAUCUCUCAUCAAAUGUAUUAUGCAUCUGAUUGUGGAGAGCCUCAAAUACAGGUUGCAAACAAGGUGCACAAUUAUGAAGUGUUGGGUUAGUUCAUUUUACUGCAGGUGUACCAAGUGUGUGGGGUUAGUUCAACACCAGACAAUUUAUCAUUUUGCUGGUUUGCACUUUUCUUUAAGACACUUUGAACUUAUUGGGGAUAGUUGCUCUUCUCUUUAAGAAAUCUUAAACUUAUUAGGAUUUGUAUCGGUGUGAAAUCAGAAUUUGAAUCUAUAUGAUUUUGAA